This 83-nucleotide transfer RNA is filed under the name Actinomycetota bacterium. RNAcentral describes it as "tRNA-Leu". It matches the Rfam family "tRNA". From Rfam's summary of the family: Transfer RNA (tRNA) molecules are approximately 80 nucleotides in length. Their secondary structure includes four short double-helical elements and three loops (D, anti-codon, and T loops). Further hydrogen bonds mediate the characteristic L-shaped molecular structure. tRNAs have two regions of fundamental functional importance: the anti-codon, which is responsible for specific mRNA codon recognition, and the 3' end, to which the tRNAs corresponding amino acid is attached (by aminoacyl-tRNA synthetases). tRNAs cope with the degeneracy of the genetic code in two manners: having more than one tRNA (with a specific anti-codon) for a particular amino acid; and 'wobble' base-pairing, i.e. permitting non-standard base-pairing at the 3rd anti-codon position. Lineage: Bacteria; Bacillati; Actinomycetota. The record is from RNAcentral.
GCCCGGGUGGCGGAACGGCAGACGCGGAGCACUCAAAAUGCUCUGCCCGUGAGGGCGUGCGGGUUCGAGUCCCGCCCCGGGCA